RNAcentral lists this ribosomal RNA (253 nucleotides) under uncultured bacterium. Its description in RNAcentral is "partial 16S ribosomal RNA". It matches the Rfam family "Bacterial small subunit ribosomal RNA", at positions 524 to 776 of the family's 1533-position model. The record is from RNAcentral.
UACGUAGGGACCGAGCGUUGUCCGGAAUCACUGGGCGUAAAGCGCACGUAGGCGGAUCCUUAAGUCGGGGGUGAAAUCCUGGAGCUCAACUCCAGAACUGCCUUCGAUACUGAGGAUCUCGAGUCCGGGAGAGGUGAGUGGAACUGCGAGUGUAGAGGUGAAAUUCGUAGAUAUUCGCAAGAACACCAGUGGCGAAGGCGGCUCACUGGCCCGGUACUGACGCUGAGGUGCGAAAGCGUGGGGAGCAAACAGG